UUCUUAAGUUUGUUCAUGGAUUUUUGUGACAAUACUUUGAUGCAUAAGUGUUGAAUUCAGCUUCUCUAACAAUGUUUUUUUUUAAUCAAAAUAUAUACAAUAAUUGUCCUGCUCUGCAUGUACAUUUUGUUUAGCUGUACAUUGAAUAGCAAAUGUUAUUAAUUUACUAUGAGCAUUUUACAUUCUAGACGUGAUUUGACAUAUCUUUAAUUAAUCCUGUAUGUAAGGGUCGUUUCAUGCAAACGGAAAUGUCUGAGCUAAGGCUAAUUCCAACCUAAUCAUCUUCGACUGCAAAAAGAAAAAGUUUGACAUCCGUUUUAUGUGACACCCUGGAUAAUUAUUAUCAUUUAGGAGUAUUUGUUUGAUAUAGUGACUUUUGGCUAACAUGAUCUUUUUUUUACUUAAUUUUGCUUAAACGCUUUUAUUUGUUAUUCUUUUUCAGAUGGAUAAUUUCGUGAAAAUCAAACUAAAAGAAUGCAAUCUUGAGGAGUUAAUCCCCACAUUUGAAGCACAGGAGCGAACCUUUCCUCGUUUUUAGGUCAAUUUGAAUAGAAUUCAGAGGGGUGGCAUGGGGGCGCACUGGGUAGUGCUGUCGCCUCACAGCAAGAUGGUCGCUGGUUUGAGCCUCGGAUGGGUUUUCCGUCCACAGUCCAAUGACAUGCGGUGUAGCUGAAUUGGAUUGGGACCAAUAUUGCUGAGUAUCUUCAUCCAUUGAAUUCAAGAAUCUAUUGAGUUUCCUCAUGUUCUCGUCCUUGGAGACCACCACUUCUUUCAAGCCUUUGCUCAUGUGCUGUGCUAUUUAUUAUUGCAAAGUACAUUACUUGCUAAAGUGGACGUUUGCUAUAAAGCAUUCUACAUCUUUGGUGUGAACUACCCCAAGCAGUGUUCCCUGGUGUGGCAGACUGUGGUUUAUGGACAUCCUGGGGAGGAGACACUAGCAGUAAGGGUUCUGCUAGCAUUAAUUUUUGCUGACAAACAGUAAUCAUUAAUACUGUGACCUCACUGCUUCCUUGGAUUCUGUGUUCUUUAACUUGUACUUUGGAUUGUGGGGGAAAAGGAGCACCCGGAGAAAA
Danio rerio (zebrafish) is the source of this 1073-nucleotide non-coding RNA. Lineage: Eukaryota; Metazoa; Chordata; Actinopteri; Cypriniformes; Danionidae. The record is from RefSeq and is a predicted model, not a curated record.